This 359-nucleotide ribosomal RNA is filed under the name uncultured bacterium. Its description in RNAcentral is "bacterial SSU rRNA". It matches the Rfam family "Bacterial small subunit ribosomal RNA", at positions 28 to 381 of the family's 1533-position model. The record is from RNAcentral.
GAUGAACGCUAGCGGCAGGCCUAAUACAUGCAAGUCGAACGGUAGAUCGGGUAGCAAUACUUGAUUGAGAGUGACGUAAGGGUGCGUAACACGUAUGCAAUCUACCCUCAACAGGAGUAUAGCUCGGGGAAACUCGGAUUAACACUCCAUAACAUUACGAUGUGGCAUCACAUUGUGAUUAAAACUCCGGUGGUUGAGGAUGAGCAUGCGUCUGAUUAGUUAGUUGGAGGUGUAACGGACCCCCAAGACGAUGAUCAGUAGGGGAACGUGAGAGGUUGAUCCCCCACCACUGGCACUGAGAUACGGGCCGAGACUCCUACGGGAGGCAGCAGUAGGGAAUAUUGGUCAAUGGGUGAGAG